UCUGUGUAUUUUACAUACUAUAUAUUUUUUUAUUUUCUGUAUUUUCUGUAUUGUAUGAACUGAAUAUUUUAU
Pangasianodon gigas (Mekong giant catfish) is the source of this 72-nucleotide non-coding RNA. The record is from the annotation of a GenBank genome assembly. NCBI's taxonomy places the organism in Eukaryota, Metazoa, Chordata, Actinopteri, Siluriformes, Pangasiidae.